RNAcentral lists this unclassified non-coding RNA (379 nucleotides) under uncultured Gammaproteobacteria bacterium. RNAcentral's name for it is "contains 16S-23S intergenic spacer region". The record is from RNAcentral. Lineage: Bacteria; Pseudomonadati; Pseudomonadota; Gammaproteobacteria.
UCCGGUUCAUCACCGGCAGUCUCCUUAGAGUUCCCACCAUAACGUGCUGGUAACUAAGGAUAAGGGUUGCGCUCGUUACGGGACUUAACCCAACAUCUCACAACACGAGCUGACGACAGCCAUGCAGCACCUGUCUUACAGUUCCUUUCGGCACAACCGCAUCUCUGCAGUCUUCUGUAGAUGUCAAGGGUAGGUAAGGUUCUUCGCGUUGCAUCGAAUUAAACCACAUGCUCCACCGCUUGUGCGGGCCCCCGUCAAUUCCUUUGAGUUUUAAUCUUGCGACCGUACUCCCCAGGCGGAAAACUUAUCGCGUUAGCUUCGAUACUGAUGGGUCUAAGCCCAACAACAUCUAGUUUUCAUCGUUUACAGCGUGGACUAC